Molecule: ribosomal RNA, 359 nt
Filed under: uncultured bacterium
Lineage: Bacteria
Description: bacterial SSU rRNA
Rfam family: Bacterial small subunit ribosomal RNA
Source: RNAcentral
CCCGGUCUCUGGGAUAACAGUUGGAAACGACUGCUAAUACCGGAUGACGUCGGAAUCUCGCAUGGGAUACUGACGAAAGGGUUACUGGAUCGGGAGAGCCUCGCGGCCUAUCAGCUUGUUGGUGAGGUAACGGCUCACCAAGGCAUCGACGGGUAGCUGGUCUGAGAGGAUGAUCAGCCACACUGGGACUGAGACACGGCCCAGACUCCUACGGGAGGCAGCAGUGGGGAAUCUUGCGCAAUGGGCGAAAGCCUGACGCAGCAACGCCGCGUGCGGGAAGAAGGCCCUCGGGUUGUAAACCGCUUUCAGAAGGAACGAAAAUGACGGUACUUUCAGAAGAAGGUGCGGCCAACUACGUG